This 203-nucleotide long non-coding RNA is filed under the name Brassica napus (rape). RNAcentral describes it as "long non-coding RNA (BNAP_LNC009425)". Lineage: Eukaryota; Viridiplantae; Streptophyta; Magnoliopsida; Brassicales; Brassicaceae. The record is from RNAcentral.
UAUAAACAACCAACUUUUUAUGUUCUUUUUUAUUUUUUAGCUUAAUCUGAAAAUUUCAGACUCUUUCAAUGAUUUAUUAUUUUAUUUUGUGGUUAUCUAGAGUUGAUUAAUUAAUAGAGGUCAGGUUACACAAAGAAUGAAGAUCCCAUAGAUGAGUUUUAAAUCAAAAGAUGAUAUUAGUAUUACCCAUAUCCUAAAUAGAG